GACGAACGCUGGCGGCGUGCUUAACACAUGCAAGUCGAACGGUAAGGCCCUUCGGGUACGACGAGUGGCGAACGGGUGGAGUAACACGUGAACAACCUGCCCUUGACUCUGGGAUAACAGUUGGAAACAGCUGCUAAUACCGGAUACGAGCCUGCAAGACAUCUUGCGGGCUUGAAAGCUCCGGCGGUCAAGGAUGGAUUCGCGGCCUAUCAGCUUGUUGGUGAGGUAACGGCUCCCCAAGGCUUCGACGGGUAGCCGGCCUGAGAGGGCGACCGGCCACACUGGGACUGAGAUACGGCCCAGACUCCUACGGGAGGCAGCAGUGGGAAUAUUGCGCAAUGGGCGAAAGCCUGACGCAGCAACGCCGCGUGCGGGAUGACGGCCUCGGUUGUAA
Molecule: ribosomal RNA, 394 nt
Filed under: uncultured bacterium
Lineage: Bacteria
Description: bacterial SSU rRNA
Rfam family: Bacterial small subunit ribosomal RNA
Source: RNAcentral